Molecule: ribosomal RNA, 508 nt
Filed under: uncultured bacterium
Lineage: Bacteria
Description: partial 16S ribosomal RNA
Rfam family: Bacterial small subunit ribosomal RNA
Source: RNAcentral
GACGAACGCUAGCUACAGGCUUAACACAUGCAAGUCGAGGGGAAACGAUAUUGGAAGCUUGCUUCCGAUAGGCGUCGACCGGCGCACGGGUGAGUAACGCGUAUCCAACCUGCCCACCACUUGGGGAUAACCUUGCGAAAGUAAGACUAAUACCCAAUGACGUCCAUAGAAGACAUCUGAAAUGGAUUAAAGAUUUAUCGGUGAUGGAUGGGGAUGCGUCUGAUUAGCUUGUUGGCGGGGUAACGGCCCACCAAGGCGACGAUCAGUAGGGGUUCUGAGAGGAAGGUCCCCCACAUUGGAACUGAGACACGGUCCAAACUCCUACGGGAGGCAGCAGUGAGGAAUAUUGGUCAAUGGGCGAGAGCCUGAACCAGCCAAGUAGCGUGCAGGAUGACGGCCCUAUGGGUUGUAAACUGCUUUUAUAAGGGAAUAAAGUAAGUCUCGUGAGACUUUUUGCAUGUACCUUAUGAAUAAGGACCGGCUAAUUCCGUGCCAGCCGCCGCCGUAA